This 498-nucleotide ribosomal RNA is filed under the name uncultured bacterium. Its description in RNAcentral is "partial 16S ribosomal RNA". It matches the Rfam family "Bacterial small subunit ribosomal RNA", at positions 30 to 523 of the family's 1533-position model. The record is from RNAcentral.
AUUGAACGCUGGCGGCAUGCCUUACACAUGCAAGUCGAACGGUAACAGGUCUUCGGAUGCUGACGAGUGGCGAACGGGUGAGUAAUACAUCGGAACGUGCCUAGUAGUGGGGGAUAACUACUCGAAAGAGUGGCUAAUACCGCAUGAGAUCUACGGAUGAAAGCAGGGGAUCGCAAGACUUUGUGCUACUAGAGCGGCCGAUGGCAGAUUAGGUAGUUGGUGGGAUAAAAGCUUACCAAGCCGACGAUCUGUAGCUGGUCUGAGAGGACGAUCAGCCACACUGGGACUGAGACACGGCCCAGCCUCCUACGGGAGGCAGCAGUGGGGAAUUUUGGACAAUGGGCGCAAGCCUGAUCCAGCAAUGCCGCGUGCAGGAUGAAGGCGUUCGGGUUGUAAACUGCUUUUGUACGGAACGAAAAGCCCCGGGUUAAUACCCUGGGGUCAUGACGGUACCGUAAGAAUAAGCACCGGCUAACUACGUGCCAGCCGCCGCCGUAA